Molecule: long non-coding RNA, 319 nt
Organism: Phasianus colchicus (ring-necked pheasant)
Lineage: Eukaryota; Metazoa; Chordata; Aves; Galliformes; Phasianidae
Source: RefSeq, a predicted model, not a curated record
CCUCCACUCAGACUGAGCUUCUAAAUAAAGAUGUAUCUUUGCAGACCAUGGUAUGUGGGAAGUGCCUGCACCUUUCAGCUGGAGCAGAGACCACUAUCCCCUGCUACUGUUUCAUGGAGGUAUCAGCAACACAGCUAUCAAGCAACCUGAAGAAUAUCAAGGAGGACUACAAGCAGCUGCAAGCAACAGUGAAGAAUUUGGGAGCACAGAUAGUAUUCUCAUCAGUCUACCAGAACUGCUACUGUUGGUAAACCAGGUGUCUUCUGCAUCUUCUAAGGGCUCAUCCUUCAGAUCCGACCAGCUGGAAUAUGCAGCUUCA